RNAcentral lists this ribosomal RNA (1052 nucleotides) under Fusarium incarnatum. RNAcentral describes it as "eukaryotic LSU rRNA". The stretch from base 465 to 1052 matches the Rfam family "Eukaryotic large subunit ribosomal RNA", at positions 1 to 600 of the family's 3401-position model. Lineage: Eukaryota; Fungi; Ascomycota; Sordariomycetes; Hypocreales; Nectriaceae. The record is from RNAcentral.
CUCCCAAACCCCUGUGAACAUACCUUAAUGUUGCCUCGGCGGAUCAGCCCGCGCCCCGUAAAACGGGACGGCCCGCCAGAGGACCCAAACUCUAAUGUUUCUUAUUGUAACUUCUGAGUAAAACAAACAAAUAAAUCAAAACUUUCAACAACGGAUCUCUUGGUUCUGGCAUCGAUGAAGAACGCAGCAAAAUGCGAUAAGUAAUGUGAAUUGCAGAAUUCAGUGAAUCAUCGAAUCUUUGAACGCACAUUGCGCCCGCUGGUAUUCCGGCGGGCAUGCCUGUUCGAGCGUCAUUUCAACCCUCAAGCCCCCGGGUUUGGUGUUGGGGAUCGGCUCUGCCCUUCUGGGCGGUGCCGCCCCCGAAAUACAUUGGCGGUCUCGCUGCAGCCUCCAUUGCGUAGUAGCUAACACCUCGCAACUGGAACGCGGCGCGGCCAUGCCGUAAAACCCCAACUUCUGAAUGUUGACCUCGGAUCAGGUAGGAAUACCCGCUGAACUUAAGCAUAUCAAUAAGCGGAGGAAAAGAAACCAACAGGGAUUGCCCUAGUAACGGCGAGUGAAGCGGCAACAGCUCAAAUUUGAAAUCUGGCUUUCGGGCCCGAGUUGUAAUUUGUAGAGGAUACUUUUGAUGCGGUGCCUUCCGAGUUCCCUGGAACGGGACGCCAUAGAGGGUGAGAGCCCCGUCUGGUUGGAUGCCAAAUCUCUGUAAAGUUCCUUCGACGAGUCGAGUAGUUUGGGAAUGCUGCUCUAAAUGGGAGGUAUAUGUCUUCUAAAGCUAAAUAUUGGCCAGAGACCGAUAGCGCACAAGUAGAGUGAUCGAAAGAUGAAAAGCACUUUGAAAAGAGAGUUAAAAAGUACGUGAAAUUGUUGAAAGGGAAGCGUUUAUGACCAGACUUGGACUUGGUUAAUCAUCUGGGGUUCUCCCCAGUGCACUUUUCCAGUUCAGGCCAGCAUCAGUUUUCGCCGGGGGAUAAAGGCUUCGGGAAUGUAGCUCUCUUCGGGGAGUGUUAUAGCCCGUUGUGUAAUACCCUGGUGGAGACUGAGGUUCGCGC